Molecule: ribosomal RNA, 433 nt
Filed under: uncultured bacterium
Lineage: Bacteria
Description: partial 16S ribosomal RNA
Rfam family: Bacterial small subunit ribosomal RNA
Source: RNAcentral
AACGAACGCUGGCGGCAUGCCUAACACAUGCAAGUCGAACGAGACCUUCGGGUCUAGUGGCGCACGGGUGCGUAACGCGUGGGAACCUGCCUUUAGGUUCGGAAUAACUCAGAGAAAUUUGAGCUAAUACCGGAUGAUGUCUUCGGACCAAAGAUUUAUCGCCUUUAGAUGGGCCCGCGUUGGAUUAGCUAGUUGGUGGGGUAAAGGCCUACCAAGGCGACGAUCCAUAGCUGGUCUGAGAGGAUGAUCAGCCACACUGGGACUGAGACACGGCCCAGACUCCUACGGGAGGGAGCAGUGGGGAAUAUUGGACAAUGGGCGAAAGGCUGAUCCAGCAAUGCCGCGUGAGUGAUGAAGGCCUUAGGGUUGUAAAGCUCUUUUACCCGAGAUGAUAAUGACAGUAUCGGGAGAAUAAGCUCCGGCUAACUCCGUG